ACGAACGCUGGCGGCAUGCCUUACACAUGCAAGUCGAACGGUAACAGGUCUUCGGACGCUGACGAGUGGCGAACGGGUGAGUAAUACAUCGGAACGUGCCCAGUCGUGGGGGAUAACUACUCGAAAGAGUAGCUAAUACCGCAUACGAUCUGAGGAUGAAAGCGGGGGACCUUCGGGCCUCGCGCGAUUGGAGCGGCCGAUGGCAGAUUAGGUAGUUGGUGGGAUAAAAGCUUACCAAGCCGACGAUCUGUAGCUGGUCUGAGAGGACGACCAGCCACACUGGGACUGAGACACGGCCC
Molecule: ribosomal RNA, 299 nt
Filed under: uncultured Delftia sp.
Lineage: Bacteria; Pseudomonadati; Pseudomonadota; Betaproteobacteria; Burkholderiales; Comamonadaceae
Description: partial 16S ribosomal RNA
Rfam family: Bacterial small subunit ribosomal RNA
Source: RNAcentral